AUUGAACGCUGGCGGCAGGCCUAACACAUGCAAGUCGAGCGGAUGAAGGGAGCUUGCUCCUGGAUUCAGCGGCGGACGGGUGAGUAAUGCCUAGGAAUCUGCCUGGUAGUGGGGGAUAACGUCCGGAAACGGGCGCUAAUACCGCAUACGUCCUGAGGGAGAAAGUGGGGGAUCUUCGGACCUCACGCUAUCAGAUGAGCCUAGGUCGGAUUAGCUAGUUGGUGGGGUAAAGGCCUACCAAGGCGACGAUCCGUAACUGGUCUGAGAGGAUGAUCAGUCACACUGGAACUUGGACAACGUCCAGGCUCCUACGGGAGGCAGCAGUGGGGAAAAUUUGACAAUGGGGGGAAGCCUGAUCCAGGCAUGCCGCGUGUGUGAAGAAGGUCUUCGGAUUGUAAAGCACUUUAAGUUGGGAGGAAGGGCAGUAAGUUAAUACCUUGCUGUUUUGACGUUACCAACAGAAUAAGCACCGGCUAACUUCGUG
Molecule: ribosomal RNA, 484 nt
Filed under: uncultured bacterium
Lineage: Bacteria
Description: partial 16S ribosomal RNA
Rfam family: Bacterial small subunit ribosomal RNA
Source: RNAcentral